AACGAACGCUGGCGGCAGGCCUAACACAUGCAAGUCGAGCGCGUCCUUCGGGGUGAGCGGCGGACGGGUGAGUAACGCGUGGGAACGUGCCCUUUUCUACGGAAUAGCCUCGGGAAACUGAGACUAAUACCGUAUACGCCCUUUGGGGGAAAGAUUUAUCGGAAAAGGAUCGGCCCGCGUUGGAUUAGGUAGUUGGUGGGGUAAUGGCCUACCAAGCCGACGAUCCAUAGCUGGUUUGAGAGGAUGAUCAGCCACACUGGAACUGAGACACGGCCCAGACUCCUACGGGAGGCAGCAGUGGGGAAUCUUAGACAAUGGGGGCAACACUGAUCUAGCCAUGCCGCGUGAGUGAUGAAGGCCUUAGGGUUGUAAAGCUCUUUCAGCUGGGAAGAUAAUGACGGUACCAGCAGAAGAAGCCCCGGCUAACUCCGUG
Molecule: ribosomal RNA, 433 nt
Filed under: uncultured bacterium
Lineage: Bacteria
Description: partial 16S ribosomal RNA
Rfam family: Bacterial small subunit ribosomal RNA
Source: RNAcentral